CCUUUCUAAGGAUGAUCAAGAAUGGAAUGUUCUCCUUUUUGAUCGCGUUAGACAUCAGUUUUAUUCACAUUUAAACCUGUCUCAAGUUAAUAAUAAACUUGUCUCAAGUUAAUAAUAAACUUGUCUCAAGUUAAUAAUAAACUUGUCUCAAGUUAAUAACUUGUCUCAAGUCAAAUGUUUUGAACAAAACCUUUUAAAUCAGCCUAUAGUCACUAUAGGUUAAGCAGGCUUGCCGCCUUCGUUUCUCUUG
This 250-nucleotide unclassified non-coding RNA is filed under the name Candidatus Bartonella merieuxii. RNAcentral's name for it is "partial 16S-23S ribosomal RNA intergenic spacer". The record is from RNAcentral. Lineage: Bacteria; Pseudomonadati; Pseudomonadota; Alphaproteobacteria; Hyphomicrobiales; Bartonellaceae.